AGGGUUUCAGAUUUCAAAACGCCGCUUCCCUGCUCCUCUCUCUCUCUCUCUGGCGAUUCAGAAACGAUUUCACCAGAUCUGCUCCUCUCUUUCUGGCUAUUCAGGAACGAUUUCACUAGAUCUAUGAAGUUUCAACAGAUCGAUGAAGAUUCUGACCUCCUGGUUCCGUUUUCCGGCUUUUAUUGGCGUUUUGCAACAUUCAUCAAGGGUCAUGGUUUGAAGACUAGAUCUGGUGAAGAAUAAUAAGAAUACUCG
Long non-coding RNA from Helianthus annuus (common sunflower), 255 nucleotides. RefSeq lists it as uncharacterized. The transcript is spliced from 2 exons. Lineage: Eukaryota; Viridiplantae; Streptophyta; Magnoliopsida; Asterales; Asteraceae. The record is from RefSeq and is a predicted model, not a curated record.